Long non-coding RNA from Macadamia integrifolia, 1839 nucleotides. RefSeq lists it as uncharacterized. The record is from RefSeq and is a predicted model, not a curated record. Lineage: Eukaryota; Viridiplantae; Streptophyta; Magnoliopsida; Proteales; Proteaceae. The transcript is spliced from 2 exons.
CCCGCUCUAAUUCUCUCCGGUUCGGGUCCUGCAUGGUUAAACCGGGUCAAUCGUGUAAUCAGACCGGGUUUAAGAAGUAGGGUAUUACAUAGAUAGUCACCACUCUCAGGCACAAUGUGUUCACACGAUCAUAAGUUCAUGUUAAUAUGGAGGCAGCAGCAGUGGGUGAUGGUUUAAUCAAUUGAUCAGAAUUUGCAAAUAGAAACCAAAAAAUCUGAGAAAUAACAGAUUCAGCAGUGACAAUAGGACAAUAAGUAUCGGUAACAGAGGAAAAAUCCAGAAUAAUAUGAGAUUGCAAAUACCACGGGAUUAGAAGACGAUCUGGUGAAAAUCUUGGGUGAAGGCAAUUGUCUAUGUUCCCUUUAAAGACCCAAAACCACGAUAUGAUUUGAAGAUCAGAUCGAUAAAACGUCAAAGCGUGGUCCAGAAAAGUAUAUAAAAACAGAGUACUGCCAGCUAUUUUGUGAAGAUAAAUAGCACCUUAAUAGGUAUGUGGAUCAGGUUGAAUCAAGUACCAAAUGACCUCUUGAUAAUGUAUACUCUAACCCCAAAAGGAUUCCCACUCAAUAAGAAUAAUAAAAAAAAACCAAAUCAUUGUGAAAAAAUUUGAAGAAGUGAAAAUGCUUUCGCCACGAAGGUGUUUGUUAUUUUUUUUUCGUUUUUAUCAGAGCAGAAGAAAGAAAGGGUUGAGAGAGAGAGAGAGAGAGAGAGAGAGAGAGAGAGAGAGAGAUAACCGUCAUUGCAAAUGCUCACUUAACAGAGACUGAUGGUAGGGGUUCAGAGUAUAAUUUUGUAUUAUGCAGGGGUUAUCUCUCUAAUAGUGGCAUUCUCCUACUCUAGGAGGUGGCACUGUAAAUUACCCUUAUUGCUUUUGUCUUUGAAGGCAUGUUUGAUUUCUUUUUUCAAGCAUCUGUAUUUUUCUUAUUUAAUGAAGUGACUGAGUUCUCAUCCAGAGGAGAAAUAAGAGUUAGAGAUAUUAACAUUUUUGUUCAAUAGAGGUCAAUUAUCUUUCUAUUACCAUUUUCUCAAUCUUUAGAGCUAGACAUGAAUUACUAAUUACACAGUUACUCAGGCUUGUAGAUGAUUGGUCUAGGUUUUUGUGUCGGCUUGUUGAUUUCCUUCGCAAAUUGUACUUUUUAUUUUUAUCUUGUUCCAUUCUUUAUUUGUUUUAUUUUGAAGUCACAAAUUUUACUUGGCUUUUGAGUUAUUAAUGUCAGAAUCUUAAGAAGAAUCCACAUAAGCACCAGUCAUAGCCACGAUUUCUGAAAUCCAGCAACACCCGUUAAUGGAAACUUCAUAGAGCCCUGGUCAUAUCCUACUACUCAAGCUUUUGCAAAGAGAAGAAGACCUCUUCGGGUUUUGAAUCACCAUGAUGAUUAAGCUUUUUAGGUAUUGGAAGGUUUCGAGGUAGUUUCAACAUGAGAAAAGCGAAAGCAGAGCGGUUACGAGGUGCAUCUAAGAAUUAAGGAUUAAAGGGAGGUGUAUUGCUCUGUUGAAAGAGUCUUAGAAUGCAAAACGGAUGAAAAUCUCUCAAGCCUCAAAAUCAAAUGGAAGCCUCUUUCUUGGUUUUCCAAAAAUGUUGUAACUAUUUGUCUUGUUUGGUUCACAGGUAUGGUCCUCCCAGCUUGGAAGUAUAUCCUUAAUGGUUGAGAAUGACCUUUGCAAGUAGAAGGACAUAACAUCAGACUUUAAAAUAAAUUUAAGGAACUAACAAUUACACUUGGUAUGCUCUUUCAAAUUACAUCCUUUCUGAAAUGCCCCUUUAGAUGAUUUAAGGCUGAGUGAAAUUACAAUGACUAGCUCUAAAUGGCCUAAUAUGGAGAUUCCACUUGUUUGCUA